UACGUAGGGUGCGAGCGUUGUCCGGAAUUAUUGGGCGUAAAGAGCUCGUAGGCGGUUUGUCGCGUCGGCUGUGAAAGCCCGGAGCUCAACUCCGGGUCUGCAGUCGAUACGGGCAGACUUGAGUGUUGCAGGGGAGACUGGAAUUCCUGGUGUAGCGGUGAAAUGCGUAGAGAUUAGGAAGAACACCAGUGGCGAAGGCGACUCUCUGGACCGUAACUGACGCUGAGGGAUGAAAGCGUGGGUAGCAAACAGG
Molecule: ribosomal RNA, 253 nt
Filed under: uncultured bacterium
Lineage: Bacteria
Description: partial 16S ribosomal RNA
Rfam family: Bacterial small subunit ribosomal RNA
Source: RNAcentral